RNAcentral lists this unclassified non-coding RNA (213 nucleotides) under Candida tropicalis. Its description in RNAcentral is "partial internal transcribed spacer region". The stretch from base 1 to 46 matches the Rfam family "Eukaryotic small subunit ribosomal RNA", at positions 1786 to 1831 of the family's 1831-position model. Lineage: Eukaryota; Fungi; Ascomycota; Pichiomycetes; Serinales; Debaryomycetaceae. The record is from RNAcentral.
AAGUCGUAACAAGGUUUCCGUAGGUGAACCUGCGGAAGGAUCAUUACUGAUUUGCUUAAUUGCACCACAUGUGUUUUUAUUGAACAAAUUUCUUUGGUGGCGGGAGCAAUCCUACCGCCAGAGGUUAUAACUAAACCAAACUUUUUAUUUACAGUCAAACUUGAUUUAUUAUUACAAUAGUCAAAACUUUCAACAACGGAUCUCUUGGUUCUC